UCAAGCGAAUAAGGGCGUACGGUGGAUGCCUUGGCACUGACAGGCGAUGAAGGUCGUGGCAAACUGCGAUAAGCCUUGGGGAGGAGUAAGCAUCCGUUGAUCCAGGGAUGACCGAAUGGGCAAACCCAUACAGGUAAAACCUGUAUAUCCGUCUACUGAAUAAAUAGGUAGCGGAAGCUAGACCCGGGGAACUGAAACAUCUAAGUACCCGGAGGAAAAGAAAGAGAGAUCGAUUCCCUAAGUAGUGGCGAGCGAAAGGGGAAGAGCCCAAACCGAUGUCUACGUUAAAGGCUGCAGCCGUUGUAACGUCGGGGUAAUAGGACCGUUUGAGCACAAUCUGCAAAUUGUGCUGCAAGUUACAAAAUAUCUGUUUAACUGAACCUGCUGGGAAGAGGGGCAAAGAGGGUGAUACCCCCGUAAGUGAAAAGCAGAUAUCUUGCAAGAGCGGCACCUGAGUACCGCGGGGCACGUGAAACCCUGUGGGAAUUCUCGAGGACCACCUCGAAAGGCUAAAUACUAGUCAGUGACCGAUAGUGAACAAGUACCGUGAGGGAAAGGCGAAAAGAACCGCUGUGAGCGGAGUGAAAUAGAACCUGAAACCGUAUGCUUACAAGGAGUAGGAGGGCUAUGCAGCAAUGUAUGCCUGACUGCGUGCCUUUUGUAGAAUGAUCCGGCGACUUACUUUAAUAUAGCGAGGUUAAGUGAUAGAAAUCACGGAGCCGAAGGGAAACCGAGUCUGAAUAGGGCGAUAGUUAUAUUAAGUAGACCCGAAACCAAGUGAUCUAUCCACGGUCAGGUUGAAGCAGGGGUAAGACCCUGUGGAGGACCGAACCGGUGUCUGUUGAAAAAGCCUCGGAUGAACUGUGGAUAGGGGUGAAAGGCCAAACAAACUUGGAAAUAGCUGGUUCUCCCCGAAAUAGCUUUAGGGCUAGCCUCGUGUGUUUCGUUGUUGAGGUAGAGCACUGAAAGAGCUAGGGGGUUUACCAAUCUACCAAACUCUAUCAAACUUCGAAUGCGACAACGUGAGAGCACGGGAGUCAGACUGCGGGUGAUAAUAUUCGUGGUCGAGAGGGAAACAACCCGGACCAACAGCUAAGGUCCCAAAAUGUAUGUUAAGUGAGGAAGGAUGUGGAAUCACACAGACAGCCAGGAGGUUGGCUUAGAAGCAGCCAUUCCUUCAAAGAGUGCGUAAUAGCUCACUGGUCGAGUGAUUCUGCGCCAAAAAUGAUUGGGGCUAAACAUACUACCGAAGCUUUGGACUCAGCAAUGAGUGGUAGGGGAGCAUUCUGUACCGGGAUGAAGGUUGAUCGUGAGGACGACUGGACUGUACAGAAGAGAGAAUGCCGGAAUGAGUAACGAUAAAAUGUGUGAAAAACAUAUUCGCCGAAAACCCAAGGUUUUCUGGGCAAUGCUAAUCAUCUCAGAGUUAGUCGGCCCCUAAGACGAGGCUUAACAGCGUAGUCGAUGGGAAGCAGGUUAAUAUUCCUGCACCGGUUUGCGGAGGUAAUCGUGAUGGAGUGACGCAGAAAGAUAAUGGCGCAGAGUGUUGGAUUACUCUGUUCUUAGUGUAGGCUUGAUGUCCAGGUAAAUCCGGAUGUCUUAUGGCUGAGGCAAUAGGGGAGCUCGGGCAACCGAGUGAAGGUCAUGAUUCUAGGCUGCCAAGAAAAACUUCUAAACGCGAAGCAGACCGACCGUACUACAAACCGACACAGGUGGGUGGGGUGAAUAACCUAAGGCGCUCGAGAUAACUCUUGUUAAGGAACUCGGCAAAUUAGUCCCGUAACUUCGGGAAAAGGGACGCCUUUUUAGUGUGAAGUAGAACAUAUGGAGCAUGAAGAGGUCGCAGAGAAAUGGGCCAAGCGACUGUUUAGCAAAAACACAGGGCUCUGCAAAAUCGUAAGAUAAAGUAUAGGGUCUGACACCUGCCCGGUGCUGGAAGGUUAAAAGGAGAGGUUAGCGUGAUUUAUCAUGCGAAGCUUUGAAUUGAAGCCCCAGUAAACGGCGGCCGUAACUAUGACGGUCCUAAGGUAGCGAAAUUCCUUGUCAGGUAAGUUCUGACCUGCACGAAUGGUGUAACGACUUGGUCACUGUCUCAACAAGAGGCUCGGUGAAAUUGUAAUGUUAGUGAAGAUGCUGACUACCUGUAGUUGGACGGAAAGACCCCGUGCACCUUUACUGUACCCUGACACUGUGAUUUGGCAACGUAUGUGUAGGAUAGGUGGGAGACUUUGAAGUUGGGACGCCAGUCUCGAUGGAGUCGUUGUUGAAAUACCACCCUUACUUUGUUGGAUUACUAACUGAUACCCGUUAUCCGGGAUCAGGACAAUGUCUGGCGGGCAGUUUGACUGGGGCGGUCGCCUCCUAAAGAGUAACGGAGGCGCCCAAAGGUUCCCUCAGCA
RNAcentral lists this ribosomal RNA (2399 nucleotides) under activated sludge metagenome. Its description in RNAcentral is "bacterial LSU rRNA". It matches the Rfam family "Bacterial large subunit ribosomal RNA", at positions 3 to 2327 of the family's 2925-position model. The record is from RNAcentral.